CGUGCCCCGGGGAGCCUGGGCAGUGCCAGCACCCUCUGGGGAAGAGCCUUUCCCGAUCGCCAACCUAAACCCCUCCGGACCCAGCUCCAGCUGUUCUCUGGGUCCUGUGCCUGGUCACGGCAGCAGAGAUCGGAGCUGGGUCCCGGGAGGAGCUGCAGCUCCCGGUGAGCUCUGACCUCAGUCUCCUCCAGACUGAAGAGGUCAAGUGUCCUCAGCCACUCCUGGCGUGGCCCCUCCAGACCCCAGCCCUUUCCAUCCAGAUACAUUCAGGAAUGUUUUCCAGCCCGGCUGUGCUCGGGAGCUCCCAGGAACAGUGAGCUGCUCGGAAAGAAGGGUCUGUGAUCCAGCUGGCACUUGUCCAACCUGUCCCUAGGUUCAAGGGCACCCAUCUCAGUUUAAAACAUCCUGAGGAAUAACAUGAGUGACUGGCAAGAAGCGAGGAUUGCGUUUUCAGGGCCCCUCCUACAUCUCUGCCAUACAUUAACACUCAUUGCCAUGAGAUGUUUUCAGUCCCCAGGCAGCCCUUGAGCUGCGGGACCCCAGAGUGACUGGCACAGGCACCAGUUGUGCAAUUCUCUUUCUGAGGGCGCUGCAGUGCGGUGAAGCAAAGUAGUGGGUCGGAGUUCUGAGCUGGCUCAAAAGGCGCCACUGACAUGGCUAACAGAACAAACUCCUCGGAGUAUUUCUGGUCUUAUGAAUAUUACUGGGAUUACAUAGAUCCAAUUCCAGUAGAUGGAAGCAAGUUGAAGGUUAAUAAAUAAUGCACAUGACAGAAUUACUCUGCUGUGCCCACAGACUCCAUCGUCAUUGCCUUUUGGGUCGGCCUUGCUGCGUUUGUGACGUUUCUUUUCCUUGUUUUGCUGUGUAUGUCCUGCUCCGGAUCAACGCCAGCAAACACGACGAUGAACAGGAACACAGGUUCGGGCAGGAGCUCAUUAGGCAGUGACUGCACUCACGACAAUUAUCGGUCACAAGAGCACCCAGGGCAAAUCCUGGUGCAAGGACGGAGUACUUGCCAGCAGCAUGCAUUGGAAUAACUGUGCUAAUCCAGCAGUUUGAAUUUUUGGAAUGCUGUGGGACAUGCUUAAUGUGUCAGUAAUAUUUUUUUAAAGAAAGCCCCCAAGAAGCAGUGGAAGAAAAUAAUAAAUAAUAUUGCCUACUCA
Molecule: non-coding RNA, 1163 nt
Organism: Taeniopygia guttata (zebra finch)
Lineage: Eukaryota; Metazoa; Chordata; Aves; Passeriformes; Estrildidae
Source: RefSeq, a predicted model, not a curated record